RNAcentral lists this ribosomal RNA (253 nucleotides) under uncultured bacterium. RNAcentral describes it as "partial 16S ribosomal RNA". It matches the Rfam family "Bacterial small subunit ribosomal RNA", at positions 524 to 776 of the family's 1533-position model. The record is from RNAcentral. RNAcentral also lists the same sequence under 1 other name.
UACAGAGGUCCCAAGCGUUGUUCGGAUUCAUUGGGCGUAAAGGGUGCGUAGGCGGCAGGGUAAGUUGGAUGUGAAAUCCUGGGGCUUAACCUCAGAAUUGCAUUCAAUACUGCCUUGCUAGAGAGCUGUAGAGGAGACUGGAAUUUACGGUGUAGCAGUGAAAUGCGUAGAUAUCGUAAGGAACGCCAGUGGCGAAAGCGAGUCUCUGGGCAGCAUCUGACGCUGAGGCACGAAGGCCAGGGGAGCAAACGGG